UGGUACAUAAGAUAUCAGAACAGGAGAGCUAAAAGAGAUGGAACAAGACAUUUACGGACUAUGAAGGAGCAACUACAAGUUCUAUUACAGGAAGGAAAACUAUUAAUUCAUAUACUUAUAGAGAACACACUUCAAUUCAUACACUCUAUACAAGUUUCAAUGGCUGUGCUAUUAUGUAAAUGGAAGUAAAUUUAUUUCAAUACAAAAGUGCCAUAUAUUAACCGAACAAGGUUGUGAUUAUAUACUAGUUUAUCCCUCAACUUUUGAUCGCCAACCCUCUAUGACAUCCUCAGUUAGAGCCCGCGUGUUGAUGAACGAGUCCCUGG
RNAcentral lists this long non-coding RNA (326 nucleotides) under Daucus carota (carrot). RNAcentral describes it as "long non-coding RNA (DCAR_LNC000675)". The record is from RNAcentral. Lineage: Eukaryota; Viridiplantae; Streptophyta; Magnoliopsida; Apiales; Apiaceae.